CCGGCGGCCAAAUCCGACGGGGACGAAGGAGACGCCCGGCGAGCCGCGACGACCGAGGCCGAGGAACCGGGCAGAUCCGAGUCGGGAGGCGCGGCGCCGGGGCGGAUCGGGACGGGGGGCUGGGGUUGCUUACCGGCGGCCGGACGGGGCGAGGGGCCGGCGCCUCCCUCCGGCGGUGCGAGAGGAGGGGAGGGGACGAGAAGCUUCAAGGAGGAAGUGGUGGAAGGAAG
This 230-nucleotide ribosomal RNA is filed under the name Triticum aestivum (bread wheat). Its description in RNAcentral is "partial small subunit ribosomal RNA". Lineage: Eukaryota; Viridiplantae; Streptophyta; Magnoliopsida; Poales; Poaceae. The record is from RNAcentral.